ACACCUGCAACUAUCCUGUCAAAUGGCUGCCUGUACACCUUGAGACACACUUGUUUACCACUGAGGUCACGCUGGAACGCUUAUCCCAACAUGAAAUAGUAUCUUGUAGAGGGCAGAGACCACUUUCCCUCCCAGGCCUAUAAAUGCGUGUGGCACAUAAUGGGCACCUAAAUAUCAA
Molecule: long non-coding RNA, 178 nt
Filed under: Ictidomys tridecemlineatus (thirteen-lined ground squirrel)
Lineage: Eukaryota; Metazoa; Chordata; Mammalia; Rodentia; Sciuridae
Description: lncRNA (ENSSTOG00000032164.1)
Source: RNAcentral